AAUGGAAGACUAAGAAUUGGCUAAGAGUGUAUUGUUAUGCUUUUCUCUGCCAGGGAUUCAAAACCUAGAGCCCCAGGGUCCUUUAAAUAGUUUCAAAAGAACCAAAACAGAGUAGAAAUAGGGCCCGAUCCAAGUGAAAUCACGCCCAAGCGUAGCAGGGAGCUCGCCCGAGCAACAAUUGAAGUUCAUGUAAGGCCUGGGCAUCAGAUUUGGACACCCAAGCUACGAAGGUCCAUCGCCCGGGUGUUGGGGGUCACCGCCCGGGCUACGAGCGUCGUUCCUGGUCGCUUUGUUUUCACUCCUGGACGCUCGGGCUUCACGUUUUCCUUCCUUCUGGUGC
This 340-nucleotide long non-coding RNA is filed under the name Vigna radiata. RNAcentral's name for it is "long non-coding RNA (VRAD_LNC017115)". Lineage: Eukaryota; Viridiplantae; Streptophyta; Magnoliopsida; Fabales; Fabaceae. The record is from RNAcentral.